This 89-nucleotide transfer RNA is filed under the name Actinomadura fulvescens. RNAcentral's name for it is "tRNA-Ser". It matches the Rfam family "tRNA". Rfam says of the family: Transfer RNA (tRNA) molecules are approximately 80 nucleotides in length. Their secondary structure includes four short double-helical elements and three loops (D, anti-codon, and T loops). The record is from RNAcentral. Lineage: Bacteria; Bacillati; Actinomycetota; Actinomycetes; Streptosporangiales; Thermomonosporaceae. RNAcentral also lists the same sequence under 3 other names.
GGAGAGUUCGCAUAGUGGACUAGUGCAGUCGCCUUGAAAGCGACCACGGCUGGGGACAGUCGUCGUGGGUUCGAAUCCCACACUCUCCG